Long non-coding RNA from Bos indicus x Bos taurus (hybrid cattle), 298 nucleotides. Lineage: Eukaryota; Metazoa; Chordata; Mammalia; Artiodactyla; Bovidae. The record is from Ensembl.
CAGAACUGUUGUCCUUGGAAUGACCUGGGUCCAUACCCACCUCUUAUCUGUGGGGACCACACAGUGGUCUAUCUCCCUCCACCAUUCAGAUCUUCACCUUCUCCAAGAGAAACUAGGCCCCAGCUGCAUGGAGCGUCUAGGAGCUGAGCCAGCAGGGGCAGUAUCUGUCUAUCCAAGAUGAGACAAACGUGCCUGGCACCAGCCUCGAAGCAGAGGUGACCUCAGCAGUUCAGCAAGUACUUGAAGAUGUCCAUUAAUUACCCCAUCCAUCCUGACCUGGCGUCCCCACACUCCAGAG